UGGGUUCUCAGGCCACAGUAUCACAGCCUGAAAUCAAGACAUCGGCCAAGCCUGGCUCUUCCCUGGAGAUUGUGGGAAAGAACCUGCCUCUCAGGCCAUUCCACUGUUGGCAGAGUUCACUUCUUUGUGUGGGGAGAAGAGAUUUCAGGCACAGGAAGUUCUUGUGAUAGCUUUCUUCAGAGAUGGAGGAAGGCUUCAAGGAGCUGAGAGUGGCCCCCAGCUGACAGUCAGCAAAGACUGGGAACCUCAAUUCUAUACCUGCAAGAACUGAAUUUUGCCAACAAUUAAAUGACCUUGGAGGUCUCCUGCUAAACUCUCACUCCAUAUCACCUCUCAAAUGACAUCACAGGACAUUAUUUGUUUAUGUACCAAGAAGUCCAGAGGUGGUACAGCAGCUGAUAGACAAGAAGGAUCACCACAUCAUUGUCCUAAGGGUGUAGACACAGCAGACCGUAUUUCCCAAAGAUGGAUUCAAUGAUAUAACCAGGCCCUGCGGCGAGGGAGCCAAGCGCUACUUCUGUAGACACAAAGCAUGGAUGGUGGCCAGAACCCACUCUGAAAGGCAGCGUCACACAGGCGAAUCACUUCUACCCUGCGCCUCGGUGUGACCUGUGCAUCUGUGGAAGGAAAGGUUUUCUUCUGGCUCCUUGGCACAGAGCAGCCGGAGCAGAAAGGAAGUGCUGGGUGCUGGCCAGCAAGUUGUGGAGGCUGUGUGGUGCCCAAGUCAGACUCAGCACCACCUCUAGCCACUGAUACUGGGAUCUGGCAAACAAGCCCUAAUCACUUAAUGAGCAAUGAAAAUGGUGCCUCCUUCCUCUACUUAAUUGCCCCUUUGAAAACAACACACAGGAGAUUUAUGGUCCCACCAUAAUUGCCUCAUAAAACCCUGGAGUUGAAGAGACUGACACGCCUGGUUUCUGGGAAGAACUUAGAGGCAAAAAAAUGAAGACAAGGAAUUCCUGGGUUGCCUUGUCCUUGGCUACCUGGAACCCAACAAGACCAUUCGCAGAGUGACUGCCUCCCUGCACAGCCAUAUCAUUCCAAGCGUUGGGCAGCCAGUGUUUCCUGAGGCCCGGCUUCCUGCUCACCUCUGUCACUGGUAGUGCCUAAGGAAUGUAGGCCAAGGGCACCAAGGAGGCCUGGCCUUUCUGAAGGUCAGAAGGAGGGCCUGUGGGAGAGGACACCAACCUCUGACCCACAGGACAGGAGAAGAGGGCAGGGGACACAGGCUGACGCCAGCCAUGGAAGGACGCAGCUCACAGGGAGUUGAAUGACAGCAGCAAGGUUCAUACUCUCUCCGAAGAAAUCGGUUUCUUUGUGCUACCUGAGAACUGGACUUGGAACCACUGGC
Molecule: non-coding RNA, 1351 nt
Organism: Heterocephalus glaber (naked mole-rat)
Lineage: Eukaryota; Metazoa; Chordata; Mammalia; Rodentia; Bathyergidae
Source: RefSeq, a predicted model, not a curated record